RNAcentral lists this long non-coding RNA (1602 nucleotides) under Equus caballus (horse). RNAcentral's name for it is "lncRNA (ENSECAG00000054275.1)". The record is from RNAcentral. Lineage: Eukaryota; Metazoa; Chordata; Mammalia; Perissodactyla; Equidae.
ACUGAGUUGCCCAAAUAUAAAUACCCCCAGGGAAUACCUUGAGUGUAAGAAUUAUGCUGUUUGUUGAUUAUUUCAGUAAGCAAGUAUUGAAUGCCUUACUGCAAGGCAGACAGGGGAUAGAGUGGACAGACAGACAAGGUCCCUACCCACAUGGAGCAUCCAUACGGCUCAAAGGCAACACAGCAUCAAGGCAAAGGAUGGUAAGAAGCACAUGCCUUAGCAGAGCACAGGCCACACCCCGUACAGGAGACUGGGUUAGACUGGAAUCUGGAGGUUGAGUGAGAGCUCCCUCAGUACAGUGAGCUCCUUGGUGGACAUGCGCAGAGGAUUUCAACCAGAGAGCCGGAAGUUCAAGGAACUGAAAGAAUCUGCGUGUGGACGCUUAAAGUGUGGAGCCUAAAGGGAAGAAGGUGGAGAUUGUCACAGAGCAGAGACCGCUUGGACCAAACUCUUCUUGGAACCAAAGCAACAAGUCUUCAAAGAAGACACUACACUCUUCAGACUUGGAUUGUCAUCUGGGGAUGUUUGGAGACAAAGAAGUUGGCCAGCAAUUAGCAGUGCGUGAUGUAUGAAAAAAGUGAAGAAUUUUAUCACCGGAAUCUCCUGGGUGUGAAGAAGAACCCGAGAUGGCAGAGUUCUGUGGUCUAUCUCCCGCUUUCUCUGGGACAAGCACUUACGGAGUGAGACAAUCCAAGACUCGGCAAACCCCAAGCAAAAGAAACAUGAAGAAAAUUACACCAAAGCACACCAUAAUCAAAUUGCUCAAAACCAGUGAUAAAGAGAAAAUUCCAAAGCAGUCAGAACAAAAAGACACAUUGUGUCCAAGGAAACAAAGAUAAGGCUGACAGCUGAUUUCUCGUCAGGAACAAUGUAAGUCAGAAGACAAUGGAGCAGGUGGAAAUCUAUCUACACAAAGGAACGAAGAUGCUUGGAAGUAGCAACUACAUGGAUAAAUAUAAAAGAUUUUCUUUUGCUUCUUAUGGAAAUAUCUUUAAAAGAUAGUUGACUGUUUAAGUUUUACUGGCUAGGACACUAAGUAAAGAAUCAUCUGCACUCACAAGUUGGCCUCAUUCAAAAGCCAUGUUUUCAUUACCACUUUUAAGAGCAAAGAUGGUUUGUAUUUCUGUUGCUGAAAGUGUUCCAAAGUCUGAAGGCACAGAUUGAGACAAAAAGUGAUAGGCUCAGAUGGAAGAAAAUGAAAAGUUUGUAUAAGACCAAAGAAAUCUUCCCACUGAGAGUAUUUAUUAACUUUACAGCUCUUCCUCUUAAUAAUUGAGUUUACACUGAAAGUGUCUAUUUAAGAAAAAUUAUUUCAGUGACGAUAAAUUCAAAUUUUCAAAAAAUAAUAUGCUAAAGUCAAAAGUAUGUUUCCAGUAGCAUUAUUAGUCUAUAGAGCCUGUAUGCACUCAAAUGACAACUUUGAUGGCACAAAAUGGAAGUGUCUCAUAGAGUUUCUAUGUUUUCCCGUAAUCUGUAUAAAAUUGCAACAUUCAAAAACUAACUGCAAUGUUCUUUAAAAUAAAUGCUUUGCAUUUAAAAAAAAGAGUAUUAAUAAUUUUGCUUUACAACAGCAUUCAAGUUUAGAAGACUUUAUACCCUCAC